Long non-coding RNA from Cucurbita maxima (winter squash), 140 nucleotides. RefSeq lists it as uncharacterized. The transcript is spliced from 3 exons. The record is from RefSeq and is a predicted model, not a curated record. Lineage: Eukaryota; Viridiplantae; Streptophyta; Magnoliopsida; Cucurbitales; Cucurbitaceae.
UAGGGUUUCUGUGAAGGAUGAAGGAUGAAGGUUGAUUGGGUAGAAAACGAGAGAGGCUAUGUUGGCUAAGGGGAAACCGAUUGUGUUGGAGAAGGUGAGGUUAUAUGUACAGAGUAUGGCAAAGGGUGAUUUGGAGGUCA